AGUGAACGCUGGCAGUAGGCUUAACACAUGCAAGUCGUACGGCAGUCCAGUAAGAGCUUGCUCAUACGAGUGGCGCGUGGCGGAAGGGUGUGGAAUACUUCGGCAUCAACUUUUUAGAGGGGGCUAACGCGGGGAAAAUUACGCUAAUACGGCAUACGAACUCAUGGUGCAAGCAAGGGAUCUUCGGACCUCACGAGAUUUAAUGGUCCGAUGUCGGAUUAGCUAGUUGGCGGGGUCAAGGAGCAGCAAGGCGACGAUCCGUAGCUGGUCUGAGAAGGUGAGCAGGCAGACCUGAACUGAUACACGGUCCAGACUCCAACGGGAUGCAGCAGUGAGGAAUAUGGGACAAAGGAGGCAAGCCUAUUCGAGCCAUACCGCAUGGGUGAAGAAGGCAUUCGGGUUGUAAAACCAAUGUGUUGGGAAAGAAAAGCAGCAGGUUAAUAGCCCACGGUACUGACGGUACCCAAAGAAUAAGCAACGGCUAACUUCGUG
This 492-nucleotide ribosomal RNA is filed under the name uncultured bacterium. RNAcentral's name for it is "partial 16S ribosomal RNA". It matches the Rfam family "Bacterial small subunit ribosomal RNA", at positions 29 to 507 of the family's 1533-position model. The record is from RNAcentral.